This 215-nucleotide ribosomal RNA is filed under the name uncultured Actinomycetales bacterium. Its description in RNAcentral is "partial 16S ribosomal RNA". It matches the Rfam family "Bacterial small subunit ribosomal RNA", at positions 115 to 334 of the family's 1533-position model. Lineage: Bacteria; Bacillati; Actinomycetota; Actinomycetes; Actinomycetales. The record is from RNAcentral.
ACGUGGGUGAUCUGCCCUGCACUCUGGGAUAAGCCUGGGAAACUGGGUCUAAUACCGGAUAGGACCAUGCUUUAGUGUGUGUGGUGGAAAGUUUUUAGGUGUAGGAUGAGCCCGCGGCCUAUCAGCUUGUUGGUGGGGUAAUGGCCUACCAAGGCGGCGACGGGUAGCCGGACUGAGAGGUUGGUCGGCCACAUUGGGACUGAGAUACGGCCCAG